AGAGAGAGCAUAUUUAAAUACACACAGGACACCGGAUAAGACAAGAGAAAUACUCCAGAUGUAACAGACUGACCCUAGCCCCCCGACACAUAAACUACUGCAGCAUAAAUACUGGAGGCUGAGACAGGAGGGAUCAGAAGACACUGUGGCCCCAUCCGAUGAUACCCCCAGACAGGGCCAAACAGGCAGGAUAUAACCCCACCCACUUUAACAAAGCACAGCCCCCACACCACUAGAGGGAUGUCUCCAACCACCAACUUACCGUCCUAAGACAAGGCCGAGUAUAGCCCACAACGAUCUCCGCCAUGGCACAACCCAAGGGGGGGGCGCCAACCCAGACAGGAAGACCACGUCAGUGACUCAACCCACUCAAGUGACGCACCCCUCCCAUGGACGGCAUGGAAGAACACCAGUAGGCCAGUGACGCAGCCCCCGUAAAAGGGUUAGAGGCAGAGAAUCCCAGUGGAAAGAGGGGAACCGGCAAGGCAGAGACAGCAAGGGCGGUUCGUUGCUCCAGCCUUUCCGUUCACCUUCACACUCCUGGGCCAGACUAUACUUAAUCAUAGGACCUACUGAAGAGAUAAGUCUUCAGUAAAGACUUAAAGGUUGAGACUGAGUCUGCGUCUCUCACAUUGGUAGGCAGACCAUUCCAUAAAAAUGGAGCUCUAUAGGAGAAAGCCCUACCUCCAGCCGUUUGCUUAGAAAUUCUAAGGACAAUUAGGAGGCCUGCGUCUUGUGACCGUAGCGGACGUGUAGGUAUGUAGGGCAGGACCAAAUCGGAAAGAUAGGUAGGAGCAAGCCCAUGUAAUGCUUUGUAGGUUAGCAGUAAAACCUUGAAAUCAGCCCUUGCCUUAACAAGAAGCCAGUGUAGGGACGCUAGCACUGGAGUAAUAUGAUCAAAUUUUUUGGUUCUAGUCAGGAUUCUAGCAGCCGUAUUUAGCACUAACUGAAGUUUAUUUAGUGCUUUAUCCGGGUAGCCGGAAAGUAGAGCAUUGCAGUAGUCCAGCCUAGAAGUAACAAAAGCAUGGAUUAAUUUUUCUGCGUCAUUUUUGGACAGAAAGUUUCUGAUUUUUGCAAUGUUACGUAGAUGGAAAAAAGCUGUCCUUGAAACAGUCUUGAUAUGUUCUUCAAAAGAGAGAUCAGGGUCCAGAGUAACGCCGAGGUCCUUCACAGUUUUAUUUGAGACGACUGUACAACCAUCCAGAUUAAUUGUCAGAUUCAACAGAAGAUCUCUUUGUUUCUUGGGACCUAGAACAAGCAUCUCUGUUUUGUCCGAGUUUAAAAGUAGAAAGUUUGCAGCCAUCCACUUCUUUAUGUCUGAAACACAGGCUUCUAGCGAGGGCAAUUUUGGGGCUUCACCAUGUUUCGUUGAAAUGUACAGCUGUGUGUCGUCCGCAUAGCAGUGAAAUUUAACAUUAUGUUUUCGAAUGACAUCCCCAAGAGGUAAAAUAUAUAGUGAAAACAAUAGUGGUCCUAAAACGGAACCUUGAGGAACACCGAAAUUUACAAUUGAUUUGUCAGAAGACAAACCAUUCACAGAGACAAACUGAUAUCUUUCCGACAGAUAAGAUCUAAACCAGGCCAGAACUUGUCCAUGUAGACCAAUUUGGGUUUCCAAUCUCUCCAAAGAAUGUGGUGAUCGAUGGUAUCAAAAGCGGCACUAAGAUCUAGGAGCACGAGGACAGAUGCAGAGCCUCGGUCUGACGUCAUUAAAAGGUCAUUUACCACCUUCACAAGUGCAGUCUCAGUGCUAUGAUGGGGUCUAAAACCAGACUGAAGCGUUUCGUAUACAUUGUUUGUCUUCAGGAAGGCAGUGAGUUGCUCUGCAACAGCUUUUUCUAAAAUUUUUGAGAGGAAUGGAAGAUUCGAUAUAGGCCGAUAGUUUUUUAUAAUUUCUGGAUCAAGAUUCGGCUUUUUCAAGAGAGGCUUUAUUACUGCCACUUUUAGUGAGCUUGGUACACAUCCGGUGGAUAGAGAGCCGUUUAUUAUGUUCAACAUAGGAGGGCCAAGCACAGGAAGCAGCUCUUUCAGUAGUUUAGUUGGAAUAGGGUCCAGUAUGCAGCUUGAGGGUUUGGAGGCCAUGAUUAUUUUC
RNAcentral lists this long non-coding RNA (2092 nucleotides) under Salmo salar (Atlantic salmon). Its description in RNAcentral is "lncRNA (ENSSSAG00000106574.1)". Lineage: Eukaryota; Metazoa; Chordata; Actinopteri; Salmoniformes; Salmonidae. The record is from RNAcentral.